UUCCUGUCCAACGUUAAUCGGGGCAGGGUGAGUCGACCCCUAAGGCGAGGCCGAAAGGCGUAGUCGAUGGGAAACAGGUUAAUAUUCCUGUACUUGGUGUUACUGCGAAGGGGGGACGGAGAAGGCUAUGUUGGCCGGGCGACGGUUGUCCCGGUUUAAGCGUGUAGGCUGGUUUUCCAGGCAAAUCCGGAAAAUCAAGGCUGAGGCGUGAUGACGAGGCACUACGGUGCUGAAGCAACAAAUGCCCUGCUUCCAGGAAAAGCCUCUAAGCAUCAGGUAACAUCAAAUCGUACCCCAAACCGACACAGGUGGUCAGGUAGAGAAUACCAAGGCGCUUGAGAGAACUCGGGUGAAGGAACUAGGCAAAAUGGUGCCGUAACUUCGGGAGAAGGCACGCUGAUAUGUAGGUGAAGCGACUUGCUCGUGGAGCUGAAAUCAGUCGAAGAUACCAGCUGGCUGCAACUGUUUAUUAAAAACACAGCACUGUGCAAACACGAAAGUGGACGUAUACGGUGUGACGCCUGCCCGGUGCCGG
RNAcentral lists this ribosomal RNA (535 nucleotides) under Escherichia coli. Its description in RNAcentral is "bacterial LSU rRNA". It matches the Rfam family "Bacterial large subunit ribosomal RNA", at positions 1352 to 1872 of the family's 2925-position model. Lineage: Bacteria; Pseudomonadati; Pseudomonadota; Gammaproteobacteria; Enterobacterales; Enterobacteriaceae. The record is from RNAcentral.